CUUUUCUCUGGUUCAUAUUGGAUUGUUUCAUCUUUUGUAUUCGGUUUGGUAUCUUCUUUAGCACUUGAUGUGUGUUGUUCAAUUUAAUUUGGUUGGUCUAUCUUCUCACUCGAUCGCUUACUCCUUUUCUUAAUUUUUUGGUCCCUCCGUCAUGAUUUUGAGAUAGGUUCUUCCGGUCUGAACUGUUUUCCCCCGUCCUUUCCGAGGAGAUUUAAUCAUGAUCUCAUUUUCUCAAGCUUCCUUCUUUGCGUUUCAUGGUCGCUUCUUUGUUGGUCUUAUAGGAACCUUACUUUACUACGAUGCGACAACUGAUAUUUGUAAAAAUAAUAAGAAUAAAAAUUAAAAUUACAAUACCGAAACAAAUAAAUAAAGAGGAAUUGCAGAGACGAGAUGGUUAAUCUCUUUCUUUAAAUUUUUGAACGUCUCGUAGUGUGAUGGUUUCAUAACGCUCAGAUUCCCAGGAUACAACUGCAAUAUUGUUUCUAUUUACCAUCACCGAAAAACAUAAUCUAUUGAACAUAAUUUUGUGUUAUACUCUUGGGCUCAAAAAAUAAAAUAAAAACAUAAUCACAAUACUAAAAGGCCAAUAUGCUGAAACAAUACUAAAAGGCCAAUAUGCUGAAUUUCUAGGCUGCCACGUCACCAAAAAUAAUCAGCCAAUAAAA
Molecule: long non-coding RNA, 665 nt
Filed under: Brassica napus (rape)
Lineage: Eukaryota; Viridiplantae; Streptophyta; Magnoliopsida; Brassicales; Brassicaceae
Description: long non-coding RNA (BNAP_LNC011167)
Source: RNAcentral